This is an RNA transcript of Solanum pennellii, 3056 nucleotides long. It is a transcript of the gene named pentatricopeptide repeat-containing protein At5g40400, with no coding region annotated. The record is from RefSeq and is a predicted model, not a curated record. The transcript has 6 exons. Lineage: Eukaryota; Viridiplantae; Streptophyta; Magnoliopsida; Solanales; Solanaceae.
GCGUGCUUUUGCCAAAUUUAAUUUUGAGAAUAUGGUAGAACCAGAAUCUUCAAAUUUCAGCCUUCUUAGGUAAUCGUCUCUUUAUCUAUAUUCAAAUUUAAUUUACUCCUUGAAGAAAUUAGCUUCAUUUUCUUGAUUUCCCCAUGAAUUUAACGCAGAAAUCAAUCAAAUCUACUUGUUCAAAUGGAGAAUUACUUAUUAAUUUCAAUAAUCGACUGAAUUUUUCAUCGUUGUCAUCAUCAAAUUGUCUCCAAAUACUUACAGAUUAUAAUGGGUCUGCCAGACCCAUUUCAAACCCUCUACAUAACUUUCUACCUAAAACCCAAAACCCCCAAAACACAGUGAGUCUGAUAUGUUCAGCUUUAAAGAACGGAAACAAUGACCAUUUGUCCCUCCUUCAGAAAACCAUCCGAGAUAAUGGGCUUAUUUGUUACUUCAGUGACAGUGAAAUCUCAAGGGUCCUGUUGAGAUGCCAGUCUGAUUCAUUUAGUGCUCUUAGUUUCUUCUACUGGGUUAAGAAUGAUUUGGGUGUGGAGCCUAACACUCAAAACUACUGUCUUGUAAUUCAUAUACUUACUUGGACAAGGAACUUUUCACAAGCAAUGAAAUUUUUGUCUGAAUUGGUUGAUUUGAAGAGAAAUGGAAUGGAGGGUGUGGAUGUGUUUGAAAGUUUGCUUUCAUCUAGUGGAUUAUGUAAUUGGGACCCUGUUGUGUUUGAUAUGCUAAUUAAGGCUUUUCUCAAGGUGAAUAUGGUGAAAGAUGGAUUUAGAGCGUUUAGAAAGACGGUGAAGCAUGGUAUGUACCCGAGUGUUAUUACUGUGAACUGUCUUUUAAAUGGUCUUUCAAAGUUGAAUUAUAGCAAAAAAUGUUGGGAAGUUUAUGCUGAAAUGGAAAGAAUUGGAGUGCACCCGAAUUCGUGUACCUUCAAUAUAUUAACUCAUGUAUUGUGCAAAGAUGAAGAUGUGAACAAGGUCAAUGACUUCUUGGUUAAAAUGGAAGAAGAAGGGUUUCAACCUGAUAUAGUUACAUAUAAUACAUUAGUUAGUAGCUAUUGUAGGAAAGGAAGAAUGAAAGAUGCAGUUCACUUGUAUCAAAUUAUGUACAUUAGAGGCGUAUCGCCAGAUUUGUUCACAUAUACUUCUUUGAUAAAUGGCUUUUGUAAAAAGGGAAAUGUGAAGGAUGCUCAUCAGUUGUUUUUAAGGAUGGCUGACAGAGGGUUAAAACCAGAUAUUAUUUUGUAUAACACUCUUAUUUCUGGUUAUUGCAAAGAGGGGAUGAUGCAAGAGGCACGUUCUCUGUUGCAUGACAUGAUUGGAGAAGGGAUGUAUCCUGAUAAGUUCACUUGUUCAGUUCUUGUACAAGGAUUUCAAAAACAGGAUAAUUUGGUUUCAGCUGUGAAUUUAGUCACCGAGCUUCAAAGAUUUAGAUUUAUAGUAUCUCAUGAUAUAUACAAUUAUCUUAUUGCUGCACUUUGUAUUGAGAAUCGACCAUUUGCAGCCAAAGCUCUAAUUGAUCGAGUUUCUGGCGACAGAUAUGAGCCUCGCAAUAUGGUGUACGGGGAGUUGAUUGAAUCUUUCUGCAGAUGUAAUUUCCCCGAUGAGGCUUUAUGCUUGAAAGCAGAGAUGGUAUCAAAAGAUUUGAAGCCUGAUAUUGGUACAUAUAGAGCUAUAAUUAAAUGUUUGUGUAAAUUAGGCCGAAGCAUGGAUGCUAACUCCUUGAUGAGAGAAAUGACUGAUUGUGAUGUGUCACUUGAUAUUGAAGUCUGUAGAGCUUUAAUAAAUGGUCAUUGCAGGGAGAACAAUUUCUGUGAGGCUCAAUCGCUGUUAAGCUUCUUUGCUCAAGAAUUUAAAAUAUUUGACACAGUUUGUUACAACACAAUUGUCAGGCUUCUAAGUGGUGAAGCUGAUAUCGCAAAAUUGAUGAAAUUUCAAGAUAAAAUGAGGAAAGUGGGUUUUGCGCCAAAUCAGCUGACAUGCAAGUACCUUAUUGAUGGAUUACAGAAAGCUGUCGGAGUCCACAAAAUCAACAGCUGAGUGCAGUAAUAAGGUGCUUGGAUUCACACAUCUUGAGAUUGGACAUGGAGGUUCUUGAUCUUGACGUUUCAGAAAUAGAGGAUCAAUCACUUCAGGGUACAGGGUUGUGAAAUAUGAAGCUAUACUACUUGGAGAGGGAUUGACAUUGGUUUCUGUUAGAGUUGAACGUAAGAUCCUCAGUACUAGAGCCACAGAUCAAGUUUGAAUUAUAUGCUCACUGGUUCUUUGUGUAUUGUUUUCAGCUGUAUUAUGGUUCCUUCAUGGCUGACCUAAAUUUGGAAUUGUUAGUGGAUGGCUAAAGAAGGUGUCAAUGCUCAAAGAGAUGAGGAAGGGGGCUUGAACCAGCAGGCAUAAACACAGUCUUUCAACCGUUACAGGGAAGAAUGGGGACAAGACAUCCUAAUGGGACAUGGAAAUCUAUACAGCAAUCAAGUGUUUGUUGUGGCAACUGGCAAGUACCUUCUUGCUUCUUCAUUCUUCUUGUUGGUCUAAUGAAGGGUGCAUGCAUGCAGACAAGUAUACUGCGUACACAGUGCAAGAGAGAGCUGGAAAGGGUUGGUGAGGAUAGUAAAUGUGAAAGGAUUCAUUUGUGGGAGAUAUUCUCCAUAUUCGGGGUUUCGAAAUUGAAACAUACUUCUGAUUAAGGAUGAAAUAGUCUCGUCAUUUCAUUGUCUAUGGUGAAACAUAAAAGUUUCAAGUUGGUAUUAAUUUUUUUAUUUUUUUAUUUUUUAAAAAAAGUAUGAUAAAAAGGGCACGGAAAUGCCGUGUUUGGGCAUUGAAAGCUAAAUUUAAGCAAUGUCUGAAGAGACAAGUUGCAGAUCUUUCUUUGUUGGGGCCCUAUCACACUAUUCUUCUCUCAUCUUCUUCUAUCUCCAACAUUAAAUUUACUUCCUACCUUAUUUACAAUACAAAAUUUGUCGCUUUGCAUUUAAAACUGCAUAUUUCACAAACUACUACUAUCCCAUAACUCCUCUUUACCCGGGGCGGAUCUAGAGUGUGUCGACUUACUAUUACUAUUGUAAU